UACGAAGGGGGCUAGCGUUGCUCGGAAUCACUGGGCGUAAAGCGCACGUAGGCGGAUCUUUAAGUCGGAGGUGAAAUCCUGGAGCUCAACUCCAGAACUGCCUUCGAUACUGAGGGUCUCGAGUCCGGGAGAGGUGAGUGGAACUGCGAGUGUAGAGGUGAAAUUCGUAGAUAUUCGCAAGAACACCAGUGGCGAAGGCGGCUCACUGGCCCGGUACUGACGCUGAGGUGCGAAAGCGUGGGGAGCAAACAGG
Molecule: ribosomal RNA, 253 nt
Filed under: uncultured bacterium
Lineage: Bacteria
Description: partial 16S ribosomal RNA
Rfam family: Bacterial small subunit ribosomal RNA
Source: RNAcentral